RNA transcript from Prunus dulcis (almond), 3357 nucleotides. It is a transcript of the gene named serine/threonine-protein kinase OSR1, with no coding region annotated. The transcript has 22 exons. The record is from RefSeq and is a predicted model, not a curated record. Lineage: Eukaryota; Viridiplantae; Streptophyta; Magnoliopsida; Rosales; Rosaceae.
UCUUCACAGCUUUUAGCGGCGAUCCGCUGCCUUCGCGAACUUCAUCGACAUUUUCAAAAUCCCAAAAUCAUCGAACGAACAAAUUAAAUUUAUGAAAAAUAAAAAAUCUGAGCUUUGCUUUUAUUUUUUUUUCUUUUUUUUUUUUUUCACGAGAAAGCGUUUGACACCAACACCAGCACCCACAAAAACCACAAGCUUGGUUUCGUCGUCAUCGUUUUAGCAUUCAAUGCCGUUCUUUAUCUUUUCCUUUCCUUUUUCCUCAAUCUCUCUGCGUCUCUCACGUGACCGGCAUUAAAGCUCGCUCUCGAUAAUGCCUACUCUGAAUUUGGUCCCUUUCUUCAUCGCCUUCUCUGCUUCUGGCUCUGCGCGCCGCACAAUGAGCUUCUCCUGCUGCUGCAUUUGCAAUUUCGUUUGAUCCAAAAGCGAAAGAACGUGUUUUUAUCGCCGUCGUUGUUGUUGAUGAUGGAGAAGAUGAAGUAUCCGAUUGGACCAGAGCACUACACGCCGUAUGAGGAGGUUGGGCAAGGCGUAAGCGCUUCCGUACAUCGUGCGCUCUGUAAGCCCGUGGAUGCGAUCGUCGCCAUCAAAAUCCUCGAUUUCGAACGCGACAAUUGCGAUCUGAACAACAUUUCUCGUGAAGCGCAGACGAUGAUCCUGGUCGACCAUCCUAAUGUCCUCAAAUCUCACUGUUCCUUUGUUAGUGAUCAUAAUCUGUGGGUUGUCAUGCCAUUCAUGUCUGGGGGUUCUUGUCUUCAUAUUUUGAAGGCAGCAUACCCCGAUGGUUUUGAGGAAGUUGUUAUAGCCACCAUAUUACGUGAGAUUUUGAAAGGUUUAGAGUAUCUUCACCAUCAUGGCCACAUUCAUCGAGAUGUCAAAGCUGGGAAUAUUCUCAUUGAUUCACGUGGUGCAAUCAAGCUCGGAGAUUUUGGGGUUUCUGCUUGCCUUUUUGAUUCAGGUGAUAGGCAGCGCAUGAGAAACACAUUUGUGGGAACACCUUGCUGGAUGGCACCAGAGGUUAUGGAGCAGUUACAUGGUUAUGAUUUCAAGGCUGAUAUCUGGUCUUUUGGUAUAACUGCAUUGGAGCUUGCCCAUGGCCAUGCUCCUUUCUCAAAGUAUCCUCCAAUGAAGGUACUGCUCAUGACAUUGCAAAAUGCACCUCCUGGCCUUGAUUAUGAAAGGGAUAGGAAGUUUUCAAAGUCUUUUAAGCAGAUGAUUGCUAGUUGCUUGGUAAAGGAUCCUUCAAAACGGCCUUCUGCAAAGAAGUUGUUGAAGCAUUCCUUCUUCAAGCAAGCUCGGUCAAAUGAUUAUAUUGCACGAACACUUCUCGAGGGGCUGCCUGCUCUUGGUGAUCGCAUCAAGGAAUUAAAGAGAAAGGAAGAGUAUAUGCUUGCACAAAAGAAAAUGCCAGAUGGGCAGAAGGAGGAACUAUCACAGAAUGAAUAUAAAAGAGGAAUUAGUGGUUGGAACUUCAAUCUUGACGACAUGAAGGCUCAAGCUUCCCUGAUCCAGGAUGCUGAUGAACCUGUACCUGAUAACAUUCUGAUGGGGACUUCCAAUUCUCUGUCUUCUCUUGAUGCACAACAAAAGCAAUCACAAUGUCAUAACUUAGAUGCAGUUGCAGACACGGAAGACAAUGAUAUGAUUCAGAACCAACAAGCUACUCUUCCACUGGUUGACACAACUUUAUAUGGUGCCAAAGUUAGAAGUGACAAAUCCGAUGACGAUUCUAGCAUUGCUAGUUCUAGCCAUGAACCACAUCUUUCACGAAAUUCUUCACCUCGUCAUGAUGAUCGUACUGAAAACAAUUUGGGUGAAAAGCCUAAUGUUGAUAAACUGGAAGCUACGGCUAUGCAUAAAAGGCAAUGCUCAUCAGGCAGCAGUGGUUUAUCAGAAGUUACUGAUCCACUUGUUAAAGGAGAGAGCGAUAAAUUUCCAAGUCAGCCCCAAAGUAAUUUGAAAUGCAAUGCAGCAGUAGUUCCACAACUAGCAGAUGAUACACUUGCUGAGGUUCCUCCUAAAGCAUCUAAAUCACCAGCAAAUAAUGAUGAACUUGAUGAGAAAGCAAAGGUGCCAGUUGUACAGCAGAAAGGACGUUUCAAAGUCACAUCCGAGAAUGUUGACUUAGAGAAGGUGGCCCCGGCUCCUAUACUGCAAAAGAGUCACAGCUUGCAGGUUCGUAGUUCUGAGGUGAUUAGCAUGAGUCCUGCAAGUCCUCUACCAUCAGCUCUUCCAUCACCCUUACCAUCACCUCUAACAUCACCUUCUGAUGCUACCCCAUCAGCUAUUUGUGGCUAUUUUCUUUUCCCAUUGUUAAACGCUGUUUUGCAGACAAAUAUUAUUCAAAGGGCGAGUAUUUUAAGUUUAAUGAAGCAAGCUGCUGAUUUCGCAGCCAACCGUGCAGCUGACGGAGGAUCCUCCCAGGCUACUAAUAUGACAGAGAAGCGUCAAGCAGCUCUUGAGAGGGAAGCCGAGUUACUUAAUGAAAUUAUUGAGUUGCAGAGGAGGCUCAUGUCUGCCCAAGAUGAGCUCCAAAAGUUAAAAGUAGAUACUGCUUAACACUCAGGUUAUACGUUGGUCCAACAUUUUGAAAAUCCCAUGUUUUCGUUAUGGUUCCUUGAUUCCAACAUACCAGUUUCAGGUGUGAUUCCAUUAUCCAACCGGUGCUCGGACGAUGUAGGCGAAUUCUUCAAAUGCAACAAUACUGACAAUUUGUAACGAAAAAAAAGGACUGACACAAGAUAAGGGGCUAAUUUUACUUGUUAAGGAGGGACAAAUACUCCCAGCAUCACUAUCCUAAAGAGAUAUCCCUCUAGUAUUAUUGGCCAUUUGUUCCAGUUUUAGCCUCAUUUUUUCAAUCAGGCCACAAACAUUUCGUAGUUGGGAAAAGGGUGAGACACACUGAGACCACUAUAUAAAGCAUCAACACCUCAAAUUAGGUCACCAAUUAAUAUACUGCAACCAGUAAAAGACUGCUAGAAACCCAAUGGCUACAAACAAGGAUAGUAAGGAAAUGGAGUCAGGCUAUGGGCAAGGCUCUGGCUCUGGUUUUGGAUCACUUAUUACUGCUGCAGUCUCCACUGUUGAAUCGGCUGCCGGUUCGGUUGUGAGUACUGUUACUGGAUCAGAAUCUGGAAGUACCAGGCAAUCGGUGUCUGAUUCGGGUUAUGGGAUUGGUUCUGGAUAUGGGUUUAGCCAGGCUAGUGAAGUCUCCGGUACGGGUUCUGGUACUGUGUCAAAUAGUACUGGUACAAAGUCCUCUACUUGAGCAAUCAGCACUACUAGUACUAGACCUAAAUAAAUAUAACAUUAUGUUAUGCAUGCUAUGAUAUAUGUGUAUAUGAAUGAGUACCAAGACUG